This 3147-nucleotide long non-coding RNA is filed under the name Sus scrofa (pig). RNAcentral's name for it is "lncRNA (ENSSSCG00000052415.1)". Lineage: Eukaryota; Metazoa; Chordata; Mammalia; Artiodactyla; Suidae. The record is from RNAcentral.
UUUUUUUUUUCAUUUAAAGGCAAGGUUUAGCAAAUACAAUUUGCAUGUAAAUCAACAUUUACCUGACACAUGGACUUUUCACAGCUUGAAUAAACUGUGACAUGAAAAAGAUGAAAGACAUAGGACGUGUAUAAAAAUCUUUAAAAGGUAAUUGGCAGACACUUGCAAUAAAUAUUUAUUAAGCAAAGAACUGUCCUUUUCUGUUUUUGUGCCACUGUGAUUCCUGCCUCAUCUCUGUCUUCUUCCUACUUUCUCAUUAAACAUGACUUCCCUUUCAUGAUAGAAUUCAGACCACAUUCUGAUGGCAGAGGAGAGAGGAUGAAGGAGCCUUAGGAAAGAGGCUUUUUUUUUCCCUUUCUCUUAGCUGCUUUUUGAAGCUGGGACAAAACUAGUGCCUGAAAAGUUUGAAAGGAGAGAAGAGCAUAAAUGAGAAGAUGGCUGCACUUUUAAAUUAUUCUCAUUUUGUCUGUUUUGUGACUGCUCCUUGAACUCUAACAAUCCCUAUCUUUGAACACUGUGCAAAGACUAUUACAUCAAGAGGGAAAUCAGGACUUAAAGUCCAAUGGCCUCAUCAACAUAUUUGAAGUAAAGGAGAAAGCCAAGUUAAAGAGUGCCCUUUCUCUCCUUGGUUUGUUGUGAACGGGUUCUGUCUGGUUGGCUCAAUGGGUGCUGUCCAACUAUAACACACCAAGAGCUCACUGAAAUAUAAGCCCCACCAAAACCCUACAAACCCUUGCAAAGUUGCCUUAAAAAAUUGUUUUUGUCUUUAGCUUACUAUGUCUUUUUUCUUUUCCUCUCCUGUUUGAUUAACAGUCUUUUAUGACAACAUCCCUUGCCACAGCUAACCUAUGCCAUGGUUUAAAAAAUGUUCUCUUAUUUUUAAUAGUUUCUUUUAAAUAGAGUUAUUCUAAAAGCUCUCCUCACCUCAUUGAUGAAGUCUCUUCCAACCAUUAAAAUGAGAGAGGAGUCUAGUUCUCACAUGGCUUAGGGGGUUAAGGAUCUGGUGUUGUCACUGUUGUGGCUCUGGUUACAGCUGUGGCUCAGGUUGAGCUCCAGCCCAGGAGUUUCCAUAUGCCAAGGGCAUGGCCAAAAAAAAAAAAAAAAAAAAAAAAGAGGAAGGUUUUCCUAUGGACCAGAGUUUUAUCUUCCCACCUACAAAUGUCAUAACUCUUUCCCCCACGCCCCUUUCCUCAAUCCACAUAAAAUGCAGUUUAGAUGAAAUAAAUGUUUUACAUGUAGUUAAUAACUCUUCCUUCCCCACUCCCAGUAUCUCAGAAUGACCCCAUGCAAUCAAGAACAGUUUUAAAAGAUGCAUUACUUUAUUACUGCAUACGUCAUGCAGUUUCUCUUUUCUAAAAGCAAUCUUCACCACAAGUCUAGUUAUCAUCCAUCACAAUACAGUUGAUCCUGCUCACCCAUUUCACCUGCCUCAUAUCAUUUUUAAAAAACCACAUAGUACAUUUUAAGUGACUUGAAAUAGAGUACAAAUUAAGACUAUUUAGGCAUCUCUGGAGACCACUGGAAAUGCACUGAAAUAUCACAGAAGUAAGGCUGUAAAUUUUUGGUCUGCAUAUGCAGGAGAAGGUUGCUCUAAACAGAUCAGGGUACACCAUCCACUUAGCAUCUGGUAUUUUGAUCUGUCAAUUAUAUAAAGAAUCUUGUCUGUGCUAAUUUGAUCCAACACAGUGACUUCAGUGCUUCAAAACAACAAUUGCAGUGCUUCUUGGAAGUGGUCAGCUUCCAGUAAAUAAUUAAACUCAACCAUUCAUUUCAGAGUGGCCCACAUCACGCCUAUACAAAUCCCAAAGGAUCUGUGUUGAUCUUGUUUGGAAAAGUACCACCUACGGAGUCUCACUGUGUUUUAAUGAGGCACUUACAAGGGGCCCUUUCCCUUUUCCCAGACUUACAGCGCACUCUUCUUACAAAUAGAGAGAAUCCAUUUCAAUUGCCUUUGGAAUAUUUACCUUUAAUAUCUCUGUAAGGAUUAAAACAAACAUUCCUGAUUAAACAUUAACUUACUUUAGGCAUUUACUGUGGGCACAUGAGACAUCCCCAUUAUGACUUGUAUGUGAAUAGUACUUAAUGUGGAAAUUACUUUUUUAAAAAUUGACAAGGAGAUGGAAUAACUCAUUUCAACAUUUCCACAGGUCUCACCUUUUGGAAAGCUUAUUAUUGAAUCAGGGAAUGUGAAAUUAUAUGUUCAAAACUCUAAGCUGCCAAAAAUAUAGUGUUGCUCUUUAGAAUACUAAAAGAUUUUACUUACUUUAUAAAAUAUUGCAUAAUUUAUAAAAUGUAAAUUAAUGCCCUAUUGAAAAUGACAUUGUAAAAGGAUGCGAUCAAGUAAUUCCUAAUAGAUUUUCCACCAUUCCACAGUAUCACUGGACACUUGAACAAAAAUAACUGUCACCACAGCUGAAUCUUUCCAUUUGCAGUAAACUUUAAUUUGUUUCUUCUGUUUUUUCGUUUUUUGGCUUUUGUUUUAAACUCAUGGCUUGCAAUACCCUGACUUUAUUUAGUUUGGCCAUAGAUUCAUUAACUCAGGUGAUGUGAAAGAAGGUAAGUUAACAAGUCUUGUUAUUCUAAAGACCAGUCAUAUUGGCCAAGUCUUUUGGUUCUGUAUCUUGUCAGAGCUCUCCAUUUGCCCACUUCCAUCUGUCUUACCAUCACUACUUAUUUCAAGCCACUAUUGCCUCUGAAAUGGGUUACUGUCAUUGCAUCCCAACCGGAUUCUCUGUGCCUAGCCUUUUCUCUCUCCAUUCAUUCUCCACACUCUAGAUGGAGUAAUCUUUUAAAAGCAAAUGUGAUCUUCUAGCUCUUCCCUUCUUAAAGAAGUUCAGAAGUAGUUCUUCUUUGCCUUGAGAUCCUAACUCUAACAUUACUAGAGUCUAUUAUUUAAAAUAUGAGUUCCCGUCAUGGCUCAGUGGUUAAUGGGUCUGACUAGGAACCAUGAGGUUGUAGGUUCGAUCCCUGGCCUUGCUCAGCGGGUUAAGGAUCCAGAGUUGCUGUGAGCUGUGGUGUAGUUCACAGACAUGGCUUGGAUCCUGCGUUGCUGUAUCUCUGGCGUAGGCUGGAGGCUACAGCUCCAAUUAGACCCCUAGCCUGGGAACCUCCAUAUGCCGUAGGAGCGAACCUAGAAAAGGCAAAAAG